AUGAGAGAUCCUGACCUGGUGACCAAUGACCUAUGUCUGACAUUGUCUUUCUGCCAAGGGGUGAGCUGCCUACAGAAGGUGGAGCAGAGCCCUCAGUCCCUGAAGAUCCAGGUGGGAGAGAGCACCACAAUCAACUGUAGCUAUACAGACACUACCAACAAUGGGCUGAGGUGGCUCAGGCAGGAUCCUGGGAAAGGCCUUGCCUCCCUGUUUUACCUAACUUCAGAGGAGAAGCAGAAUGGAAGGUUAGGAUCCACAAUCAGCAGGAAGGACCGUCAGAGCUCCCUGCACAUCACUGGUGCCCAGCCUGAAGACUCAGCCACCUACCUCUGUGCUGUGGAGGCACAGUGA
Non-coding RNA from Phascolarctos cinereus (koala), 351 nucleotides. The record is from the annotation of a RefSeq genome assembly. Lineage: Eukaryota; Metazoa; Chordata; Mammalia; Diprotodontia; Phascolarctidae.